Molecule: ribosomal RNA, 213 nt
Filed under: Triticum aestivum (bread wheat)
Lineage: Eukaryota; Viridiplantae; Streptophyta; Magnoliopsida; Poales; Poaceae
Description: partial small subunit ribosomal RNA
Source: RNAcentral
AUGCCUACAAAAAAUCAAUUGAUUCGUCAUGGUAGAGAAGAAAAACGGCGCACGGACCGUACUCGAGCUUCGGAUCAAUGUCCCCAGAAGCAAGGAGUAUGCCUGCGUGUUUCGACGAGAACACCGAAAAAACCUAAUUCAGCUCUACGUAAGAUAGCAAAAGUACGGUUGAGCAAUCGACAUGAUAUAUUUGCUCACAUUCCAGGCGAAGGU